Long non-coding RNA from Melanotaenia boesemani (Boeseman's rainbowfish), 88 nucleotides. RefSeq lists it as uncharacterized. Lineage: Eukaryota; Metazoa; Chordata; Actinopteri; Atheriniformes; Melanotaeniidae. The record is from RefSeq and is a predicted model, not a curated record. The transcript has 3 exons.
GUUCAACACAUGCCAAACAGCCAGUGGACCGCAACGGAUUGCAGGGGAGAUGAUGUUAACACUGGCACACAACCUGCCAGCAUACUGC